RNAcentral lists this ribosomal RNA (216 nucleotides) under uncultured bacterium. RNAcentral describes it as "partial 16S ribosomal RNA". It matches the Rfam family "Bacterial small subunit ribosomal RNA", at positions 1284 to 1500 of the family's 1533-position model. The record is from RNAcentral.
GGUCUCAGUUCGGAUCGCAGGCUGCAACCCGCCUGCGUGAAGUUGGAAUUGCUGUAAUCGCGGAUCAGCAUGCCGCGGUGAAUACGUUCCCGGGCCUUGUACACACCGCCCGUCACACCAUGGAAGUCGGUAAUGCCCGAAGUCAGUAGCCUAACCGCAAGGGGGGCGCUGCCGAAGGCAGGAUUGAUGACUGGGGUGAAGUCGUAACAAGGUACC